RNAcentral lists this ribosomal RNA (454 nucleotides) under uncultured bacterium. RNAcentral describes it as "partial 16S ribosomal RNA". It matches the Rfam family "Bacterial small subunit ribosomal RNA", at positions 28 to 507 of the family's 1533-position model. The record is from RNAcentral.
GAUGAACGCUGACAGAAUGCUUAACACAUGCAAGUCAACUUGAACUUCGGUUUGGGUGGCGGACGGGUGAGUAACGCGUAAAGAACUUGCCUCACAGAUAGGGACAACAUUUGGAAACGAAUGCUAAUACCUGAUAUUAUGAUUAUAUGGCAUCGUAUAAUUAUGAAAGCUAUAUGCGCUGUGAGAGAGCUUUGCGUCCCAUUAGCUAGUUGGAGAGGUAACGGCUCACCAAGGCGAUGAUGGGUAGCCGGCCUGAGAGGGUGAUCGGCCACAAGGGGACUGAGACACGGCCCUUACUCCUACGGGAGGCAGCAGUGGGGAAUAUUGGACAAUGGUCCAAGAGUCUGAUCCAGCAAUUCUGUGUGCACGAUGAAGUUUUUCGGAAUGUAAAGUGCUUUCAGUUGGGAAGAAAAAAAUGACGGUACCAACAGAAGAAGUGACGGCUAAAUACGUG